GCAUCUAUGGCUGAAUGGUUAAAGCGCCCAACUCAUAAUUGGAAAAUUCAUAGGUUCA
RNAcentral lists this transfer RNA (58 nucleotides) under Nelumbo nucifera (sacred lotus). It matches the Rfam family "tRNA", at positions 1 to 55 of the family's 71-position model. From Rfam's summary of the family: Transfer RNA (tRNA) molecules are approximately 80 nucleotides in length. Lineage: Eukaryota; Viridiplantae; Streptophyta; Magnoliopsida; Proteales; Nelumbonaceae. The record is from Rfam by way of RNAcentral.